GGAAAAAUAAUCAAACUUCCAGAAAUUCAAAUAGCAGCAGUAGGAAACAAAAUUGCAGAUUGAUUCAGAGUUUGGCGCGUGGAAGGAUGUUUAGACAGCGAGUUUAGAUGUGAAGACAAGAAAAGGGGGUGGAUGGAUAGAGUUGAAAAAACGAUAGGAAGAUGCAGCAAGUAAGGAAAGAAGAGAGAGACGUUGAAGAAACCUGUG
This 207-nucleotide unclassified non-coding RNA is filed under the name Hevea brasiliensis (rubber tree). Lineage: Eukaryota; Viridiplantae; Streptophyta; Magnoliopsida; Malpighiales; Euphorbiaceae. The record is from RNAcentral.